Molecule: non-coding RNA, 28 nt
Filed under: Mus musculus (house mouse)
Lineage: Eukaryota; Metazoa; Chordata; Mammalia; Rodentia; Muridae
Source: RNAcentral
UGAAACUCAAAUGAAAGGGUUCCAGGUU